ACUCUUAAAUUUAAUAGUAAAUUACGUGUUCUUUGAUCCGAAGAAUUGAUGGAAAAAGUUAUAAUUUUUAUAAGUUUUCUAUAAAAAAAAACUGCAUUCACGUUAAGAAUAUACGUGCGCGAAGUCUGAGCCGCCGACUUGCGUUUUGUGAUUGGUUGACAGUCAUCGGAAACCGUCGUUUAUCGAAGAAUCACGAAAACAUCGGGUUUUUGCGCGAUUCUUAAACAGUAAGAAAAUGUACAAACAAAAAAGAUAAUAAUUCGCAAGGGAAUAUAAUUACGUGUAAUUAAAACAUAAUACAAAUAAUAUAUAAAUUAGUAUGUGUGAUAAUCGUUAGAGUAAACGUUUACGCGCGAGUGGAAUCAAACAAUUGAUAGUGUAAUAAUCGAGGUAAUAAUACAACUCACUAGUACACUAUACAGCCGCUGCAGUUCCAUGACGGCGAUGCACGAACAGGAAGGGUUUGGUCGGCCGAGUGGUAUAAUUACCGGGAAAAAAAAAAUUCAGGUUUUACAAUAUUGUUACUAGUUCAUUAAAUGUAAAAACUAACAAAGUUACAUUAAAUCGGGUGAGACAACAACACAUGUUGGAAGACAUAUUCAAACAUCUUAAGCCUUACAAUGAUAGAAGCAUGUGUGAUUAUAUUGAUAUUUUGGAAGAUUUUCCACGUGAUAGCUUGGAUACUAGAUUGAAUGAAGUUAAUAUGUGAGCUGGAAAGGGCUUUAAGAGUGAUAAAUCGCUUUUAAAGAAAGUUGAUAAAGCUGAAGACAAUUUCAUGGUCCAAGUGUUUGUCAUUAAAGAUAUAAUAGAUAUACUUUUAUUUAGGAUGCAAAAUGUGUGUAAAUG
This is a long non-coding RNA of Metopolophium dirhodum (rose-grain aphid), 846 nucleotides long. RefSeq lists it as uncharacterized. The record is from RefSeq and is a predicted model, not a curated record. Lineage: Eukaryota; Metazoa; Arthropoda; Insecta; Hemiptera; Aphididae. The transcript has 3 exons.